UGGGGAAUCUUGCACAAUGGGCGAAAGCCUGAUGCAGCAACGCCGCGUGCGGGAUGAAGGCCCUAGGGUUGUAAACCGCUUUCAGUAGGGAAGAAAAUGACGGUACCUACAGAAGAAGGUGCGGCCAACUACGUGCCAGCAGCCGCGGUGACACGUAGGCACCAAGCGUUAUCCGGAUUUAUUGGGCGUAAAGAGCUCGUAGGCGGUUCGGUAAGUCGGGUGUGAAAACUCUGGGCUCAACCCAGAGACGCCACCCGAUACUGCUGUGACUAGAGUGCGGUAGGGGAGCGGGGAAUUCAUGGUGUAGCGGUGAAAUGCGCAGAUAUCAUGAGGAACACCAGCGGCGAAGGCGCCGCUCUGGGCCGUAACUGACGCUGAGGAGCGAAAGCAUGGGUAGCAA
This 400-nucleotide ribosomal RNA is filed under the name uncultured bacterium. Its description in RNAcentral is "bacterial SSU rRNA". It matches the Rfam family "Bacterial small subunit ribosomal RNA", at positions 355 to 771 of the family's 1533-position model. The record is from RNAcentral.